GAGGGUACAGCUCAGUGGUAGAGCACAUGCUUAGCAUGCAUGAGGUCCUGAGUUCAAUCCUCUGUACCUCCA
RNAcentral lists this transfer RNA (72 nucleotides) under Camelus bactrianus (Bactrian camel). It matches the Rfam family "tRNA". Rfam says of the family: Transfer RNA (tRNA) molecules are approximately 80 nucleotides in length. Lineage: Eukaryota; Metazoa; Chordata; Mammalia; Artiodactyla; Camelidae. The record is from Rfam by way of RNAcentral. RNAcentral also lists the same sequence under 2 other names.